GCGCGCCUAACACAUGCAAGUCGAACGAGAGAUGAGGAGCUUGCUCUUCAAAUCGAGUGGCGAACGGGUGAGUAACGCGUGAGGAACCUGCCUCAAAGAGGGGGACAACAGUUGGAAACGACUGCUAAUACCGCAUAAGCCCACAGCUCGGCAUCGAGCAGAGGGAAAAGGAGCAAUCCGCUUUGAGAUGGCCUCGCGUCCGAUUAGCUAGUUGGUGAGGUAACGGCCCACCAAGGCGACGAUCGGUAGCCGGACUGAGAGGUUGAACGGCCACAUUGGGACUGAGACACGGCCCAGACUCCUACGGGAGGCAGCAGUGGGGAAUAUUGCACAAUGGGGGAAACCCUGAUGCAGCGACGCCGCGUGGAGGAAGAAGGUCUUCGGAUUGUAAACUCCUGUUGUUGAGGAAGAUAAUGACGGUACUCAACAAGGAAGUGACGGCUAACUACGUGCCAGCAGCCGCGGUAAAACGUAGGUCACAAGCGUUGUCCGGAAUUACUGGGUGUAAAGGGAGCGCAGGCGGGAGAACAAGUUGGAAGUGAAAUCCAUGGGCUCAACCCAUGAACUGCUUUCAAAACUGUUUUUCUUGAGUAGUGCAGAGGUAGGCGGAAUUCCCGGUGUAGCGGUGGAAUGCGUAGAUAUCGGGAGGAACACCAGUGGCGAAGGCGGCCUACUGGGCACCAACUGACGCUGAGGCUCGAAAGUGUGGGUAGCAAACAGGAUUAGAUACCCUGGUAGUCCACACCGUAAACGAUGAUUACUAGGUGUUGGAGGAUUGACCCCUUCAGUGCCGCAGUUAACACAAUAAGUAAUCCACCUGGGGAGUACGACCGCAAGGUUGAAACUCAAAGGAAUUGACG
This 860-nucleotide ribosomal RNA is filed under the name uncultured bacterium. RNAcentral describes it as "bacterial SSU rRNA". It matches the Rfam family "Bacterial small subunit ribosomal RNA", at positions 42 to 915 of the family's 1533-position model. The record is from RNAcentral.